RNAcentral lists this transfer RNA (77 nucleotides) under Candidatus Saccharimonadota bacterium. Its description in RNAcentral is "tRNA-Trp". It matches the Rfam family "tRNA". From Rfam's summary of the family: Transfer RNA (tRNA) molecules are approximately 80 nucleotides in length. The record is from RNAcentral. Lineage: Bacteria; Candidatus Saccharimonadota.
AGGGGUGUAGCUCAGUUGGCUAGAGCGUCGGUCUCCAAAACCGAAGGUCGCGGGUUCGAGCCCCUCCACCCCUGCCA